This is a long non-coding RNA of Saccoglossus kowalevskii, 731 nucleotides long. NCBI's taxonomy places the organism in Eukaryota, Metazoa, Hemichordata, Enteropneusta, Harrimaniidae. The record is from RefSeq and is a predicted model, not a curated record.
UCAAGGUUGCGGUUAAUAGGAAAGCAACAACGAGCUCAACAAACAUACAAUGGUUCUUGAAAUUUAAAAUGGCGACCAGGGGUUCACCGUCAUCGCCUGCUCGGAAUGAACCAAGAAAAGCGUUAUUCCGUUCACCAGCUCCUUUCGAAGAUAACCAGUCAACACCAGUCAUAGAUCAUGUGAUUGCUGUCUUGUGUGUGGAAAGGGAUAUGGAACAAUGUCUUAAAACAACACAAAAAGAACUACAUACGCACAGACUCACACAGAUGCGAGAUCUUCUUGGGACUUUGCAAGAGAAUGAAUGGAGGUAUAAACCUGUGGAGAAACUGAUAGGACUGUGAUGUGCACCGUCAAUGUAUUCACUAACUAAUAGCUAGUACUGAAAAUAACCAGCUAAAGAUCCAGCAAUCAAAUGAACAACAUGAAGUGGACUGCACAUUGCCUUCAGAGUAGACAACAGAGCGCCCUCAGAGUUGACAACAGGAUGCCUUUAGAGCAUCAUCAAGGUUGACAAUGGAGCACCCAUAGAGCGCCCUUACAGUUGGCUGUCAGUAACAAUGUCUAGCAUUUGAACCGUUUUAACCUUAUUUGUUUCUAAUUUGUUUAUAUUAUUAAAAUUAACUUAUUAAUUUCAUAAAAACAUUCUUGUAAUUAUCUUAUCAUACAAUGCAUUGCGUUAUACUCACACCAUAGAUAUUUAUGCAAAUAAAAAACAAUUUUUUUACUGAACU